RNAcentral lists this ribosomal RNA (486 nucleotides) under uncultured bacterium. Its description in RNAcentral is "partial 16S ribosomal RNA". It matches the Rfam family "Bacterial small subunit ribosomal RNA", at positions 30 to 507 of the family's 1533-position model. The record is from RNAcentral.
AUUGAACGCUGGCGGCAUGCCUUACACAUGCAAGUCGAACGGCAGCACGGGUGCUUGCACCUGGUGGCGAGUGGCGAACGGGUGGGUAAUACAUCGGAACAUGUCCUGUAGUGGGGGAUAGCCCGGCGAAAGCCGGAUUAAUACCGCAUACGAUCUACGGAUGAAAGCGGGGGACCUUCGGGCCUCGCGCUAUAGGGUUGGCCGAUGGCUGAUUAGCUAGUUGGUGGGGUAAAGGCCUACCAAGGCGACGAUCAGUAGCUGGUCUGAGAGGACGACCAGCCACACUGGGACUGAGACACGGCCCAGACUCCUACGGGAGGCAGCAGUGGGGAAUUUUGGACAAUGGGCGAAAGCCUGAUCCAGCAAUGCCGCGUGUGUGAAGAAGGCCUUCGGGUUGUAAAGCACUUUUGUCCGGAAAGAAAUCCUUGGCUCUAAUACAGUCGGGGGAUGACGGUACCGGAAGAAUAAGCACCGGCUAACUACGUG